UUUUAGAGAGCUUUGUUAUCUCCUCUACUACAACUCUAUUAGAACUCUGGUUGAACAAUUAUCAGAAUAAUAUUCUGUUGUGUGUUCUGUUUUCAUUUUACAAAGCUCCAUUUCUUGCUCUCUAUUUCUGUUAUAGUACAAAAGCUCCCCUUCAUAGUCCCAUUUUUAUAUUACAAUAUAAUUCUCUAUAUAUUCAACUCUGCUUGUCAAAAAAAAAAAAAUUUUUGCUCCCUUUUGAUUUUGUUGUCAUCUAAGUGUUUCUUUUCUGUCUUCAUAUCCUCUGCAAAAUAGUAUUACUCUCUUUGUUCUAUUUUAAUUUGCAAAGCUUUGUUUCCUCAUUUCCAUUUUGAUUGUAGUAGAAAUCCCUUUUUGUUGUGUUCUAGUCUUUUACAUUUCAAGUUUCACUAUCCACAGAAGAAAAACGCGAGAGAAAUGGUCGUGAACUUUGUUCUUCCUGUAGUAAUGAAGAUUGGAGAAUAUCUGGUUGCUCCAGUUGGUCGCCAGUUUGGUUAUUUGAUUUUCUAUGACAGAAACAUUAAGAAUCUGGAGAAGCAGGUCCAAAAGCUGGAAGAUAAAAGAUUUGGAGUACAAAAAUCAGUUGAAGAAGCAGAGGCAAAGAGAGAAAUUAUUGCACCAGGUGUCGAGCGGUGGUUGAAAACAGUGAACGACCUCAACGAAGAGGCUAAGAAAUUCCUCGAGGUUGAAGUGAAAGCAAACAAAGGGUGUUUGAAUGGGUGGUGUCCAAAUUUGAAGUCACGUUAUUCCUUGAGCAGAAAAGCUACAAAGAAAACUCAAAGUGUGGAAGAGCUACGUGGAGAAGGAGUUUUCUCUACAGUGUCCUAUCCUACAGUUGCACCUUCUGUGGGGACAACAUUUGCAUUCACUGGAGGUUUUAAGGGGUUUGAAUCUAGAAGAUCGAUUAUGAAUGGAGUUAUGGAGGCACUGACAGAUGAUAGUAUCUAUGUGAUUGGGAUAUGUGGGAUGGGAGGGGUUGGUAAGACAACUAUGGUGAAAGAAGUUGCGAAGAAAGCGGAAGAAGAGAAAAUGUUCGAUAUUACUGUGAUGGUAGUAGUGUCCCAAAACCAAAACUUGAUUACUAUUCAAGACCAGAUAGCCAAAAUAUUGGAUUUACAAAAUUUUGGGGGAACCAAUUUACCUACUGGAGCAGGGCAGAUACGAUCAAAAAUAUUGAGCUUUGGAAGAGUCCUUGUAAUAUUAGAUGAUGUUUGGAAGAUACUCGAAUUGAAUGACAUAGGUAUUCCAAUUGGAGAUAAUCACAAGGGUUGCAAAAUUGUGAUGACUUCAAGAAGUGAAGAUGUAUGCAACAACAUGGACACACAGAAGAAUUUUGAAGUUGGUGUCUUACAUGAAGAAGAAGCAUGGAAUCUCUUCAAGGAGAUGGCUGGAAUUUCUGACGAAGGUACAAGUCAACCAACUAAUACACAGUUGACGCAGAUGGCAGUUGCGAAGGAAUGUGGAGGCUUGCCGAUUGCUAUUGUUACAGUCGGGAGGGCACUUAGAUGCAAAAGCAAGUAUGCAUGGGAUUCUGCUCUUGAACAAUUGCGAAAGUCUAUGGUCAAAAACAUCAGUGGAGUGAAUGAAAAUGUGUUUAAAUCUCUAGAGUUGAGUUAUGACAACCUUGAAAGUGAUGAAACCAAGAAAUGCUUUCUGCUCUGUUCUUUAUAUUCGGAAGAUUUUGAUAUUCCAAUUGAAGAUCUCGUUGGAUAUGCGAUUGGGAUAGAGUUGUUUAAGCGCUUUGAUAGUGUGCACCAAGCAAGAAACAGAGUACAUUCUGUAGUUGAUGACUUAAAAAAAUGCUAUCUAUUGAUGGAAACUAAAAAUGAAGAGUGUAUCAAAAUGCAUGAUGUCGUACGUGACGUGGCUAUAUCAAUUGCAUCUAGGGAGGAGCAUUCGUUUUUGGUGAGAUGUGAUGAAGUAUUGACAGAAUGGCCCCAGAAAAACCGACUCCAAAACAACACUGUAAUUUCAUUAAAAGUUAAUAGUGUGCAUUGCCUUCCUGGUGAUUUAGAAUUUCCAAAUCUCCAGCUUCUACAGCUGGAUUGCAAUGCCGGAUCACCACCAACCUCAUCACAUGGUCUUAACAAAGGGAUGGAGAAGGUCAAAGUACAAGAGACCCCAGAUAGUUUCUACCAAGGAAUGAAAGAACUUAAAGUGCUAGGUUUAUCCAAUAUGAACAGCUCAUUGCCGACAUCAUUUCGAUGCUUGACCAACCUCCGAACCUUGUCACUUUUUCGUUGCCGACUUAUUGAUGAUGGUAUCUCCGUUAUCGGAGCGUUAGAGAAACUGGAAAUUUUGAGGUUUGGCGGCUCUUAUAUCAAGGAAUUGCCAAAAGAAAUAAUAGGUCACCUCGCUCACUUAAAGGUACUUGAUUUGUUCGGAUGUACAGUGGAAAGGAUUUACCCAGGGAUUUUGUCAAGCUUAUCAAAGCUAGAAGAGUUGUAUGUUGGGUCUAGUUUUGAUAGUUUGUGUAAACAAAGCAAAGAAGGUGCUAAAGCAAUUAUCGAUGAGCUGGCGUCCUUGUCCAAUUUGGUGGCUUUGCAUAUUAAUCUAAUAGACAUUUCCUUCUGGCCGAGAGGUUUGGUCGUUGAAAAGUUCGACAUAACUGUUUGCACUUCGUCAUCACAUCACCUUUGCUAUCGGUUAUCAAAUCAGUUGAAUGUCCAACGUACAAUUGUGAAUGAUUACAUUAUUGAAUCGAGGCUAUAUUUGCUGUUGAAGAGAGCUGAAAUUCUGAAUUUAUUCGGAUGUCUAAUAAUAGGUUUUGAAAGUCUCUGUGAUUUGGUCGACGGAGAUGGUUUUGAAUGCUUAACGAAGUUGAGACUAGAUGACUUGUCUGAUUUGGAAUACCUCAUCAAUACAGCAGAUGGGGUUCCACAGAGUGCUUUCCCUGUGUUAGAGUUUCUGCAUCUUUGUUGUCUACCUAAUUUCAAAGGGAUUACUAGUCAUGAAUGCCGACUACCGAACAAGGCUUUCAGUGCAUUGAAAGUGUUGACACUAUAUUGGCUGUCUGAACUGACAAAUUUGUGGAAGGGUCCCACCCAACUUGUAUGGCUCGGCAACCUGACGACUGUAGAUGUGAUAUCUUGUGAUAAAUUGGAAAGUAUGUUCUCACUUUCCAUAGCUAGAGGUCUAGUGCAACUGCAGGACCUUCUGAUACGUACUUGUCAUGUGAUGGAAGAAAUUGUUUCGAGUGAAGGAGGAGAGCAUGAAAUAGAAGCAAUAGCAACAGAUAAAAUCGAGUUUCCUAAACUAAAGAAAUUGUGUCUUGGAACCCUGCCAAAUUUUACUGCUAUCUGCAAAGCUAUGAAUGCAAUUGAGCUGCCACAACUGAGUUCUUUGACACUGUCGAAUGUGCCAAAGCUGAAGCGUCUCUGGGCUGCUUCAGAUUUAGGGAGUAAUUGUGAUCCCAUCAUUCAACCCCUCUUCAACGACAAGGUUAAACUGACUACCAUUGAAAAAUUGGACAUCUUUGGAAUGGAGAAUUUGAUGGAGAUUUGGCCUGGGGAACUUCAAGAUAAACUAAGAGAGAUGAAAGUGUGCAGCUGUCAUGAGCUCUCAAAUAUUCUUUCCUCAUCCAAUUCAAUUAAGGGCAUGCAAAAUCUUGAACUACUUGAAGUAAGGGAUUGUCGAUCUAUUGGAGUAGCCUUUGACCGUGAAGGACUUGUUUGGGAAGGAGGCAUAUCAGAUAUGGCAUUCCCUUCAUUAAAAGAGGUGAAACUAAUCCAUCUGCCAAAGUUGACACAAGUUUGGAAGGACGAUUCACCAGGAAUUCAAGGCUUUCAAAAUCUAAGAUCCUUAAUAGUAAAUGAUUGUGACAGUUUGAGAAAUCUAUUCUCAUACUCUCUGGCCAAACUUCUUGUGAAACUACAAGAAAUAGAGAUAACUGAAUGUGGUAUGAUGGAAUCGAUCGUUGCAAAUGAACCAAAUGAAGAUGAUGCAGUGCUAACAAAUAUAAUCAUGUUUCCUCAACUGAGUAGUCUCAAACUCAAUGAUUUGCCAAACUUUAGGAGUUUCUGCUUUCAAGCUUGUACGUUUGAGGGAUCGUUGUUGAAAACAAUAGAAGUAAACAACUGUCCCAAAAUGAAGGUACUCCCAUCAGCAUUUCAGAGCAAGCUAGUGCAACAAAAGGCAGACUUUUCAACCUCAUCUCUACACCAUCUCUUGGAUGGAAAGCUUAUUUUCAGAGUCGACCAUAUAUUUGGCAACUAUCGAAAACUUACUAUCACAGACAUAAAUGGAUCAAUAGAGAUGUGGCAGAACCAACUUGAUGUUGGCCGCAUUGACAAAGUGACGUUCAUCUUGGUCCAAUUUUGCGGGAAAUUAUCAAGUGUGAUCUCGUUGAAUUUUGUGCGACAACUACGACUUCUACAACAGCUGAAGGUAUGGUGGUGUGAUUCACUGGAAACAAUAUUUGACCUCCAAGGGUCGGUAUGCGCUAGUACUAUUGGUGAGGAAAGAUCAGCAACGACUGUGUUAAAACAUAUGAAAUUGAUGUAUUUGCCCAAGUUGAUGCAUAUAUGGAUGAAUGUUUCUCAACACACUUGGGGUUUCACAAAUCUAAUUUCCCUAGAAGUGGAGAAGUGUGACAACCUGAGAUAUAUAUUCCCAAUUUCCAUGGUCAAGGGCCUUGUGUCUCUAAAAUAUCUAAGAAUUGAAAAUUGCGAGAAAGUAGAAAAGAUUGUCAUCGGGAAAGCAGAAGAAGAAAGGGGCAAAAUCAAUAUUUUGAGCGUGGAACUUCAAAAUCUUCCGAGUCUCGUGUGUAUUGGAAUUCCAGAAUCUCAAAUUCAUAUCUCCAAAUUGCAUGUAGAUUUCUGCCCCAAGUAUCGAGGCAGGUUAUGAUGGGGAAGGGGAGUAGUAUUUACCGUUAGCUGUGGUGGAUCGCCAAUCUCUUCACAGAAAAGGUAUGUUGUUCUUGAUAAAUAGGAGAUGGGAGGAUCUACUCAAUUUCUAUGAAGAUCAAAAAGCUGGAGAAGUAGAUAGCAGCGCUAUUUAUGCAAAAAUCGGCUAGAACUUUACUAGGUGUUCUUAUUUAUGAAAAACUGUUUAGUUGUUAUGAUUUCGUUUUAACUUUUGUCCGAACUUGAAAAAAAAAAAAACAAAACAAAACAAAAAAAAAAAAACCAAAACCAAAACCAAAACCAAAACAAAAACUAUAUAUUGUCCCAACCUGAAUAAUUUGUUUGCUAUUAUGUGGUAUUGCUAGGUUUGUAUUAGUGUGUCUUUUUGCGGUAUUGCUUGGUUGAUUGUGCUUUUUGUUUUGUGGUACAACUGAAUUAACUUUAUUAUUGGCCAUGUAAUAAUUUGUGUUUGAAUUUA
Non-coding RNA from Camellia sinensis, 5337 nucleotides. The record is from RefSeq and is a predicted model, not a curated record. NCBI's taxonomy places the organism in Eukaryota, Viridiplantae, Streptophyta, Magnoliopsida, Ericales, Theaceae.